AGAACGAACGUUGGCGGCGUGGAUUAGGCAUGCAAGUCGAACGAAUCCCACUGGCGUAGCAAUACGUUGGUGGGGGAAGUGGCGAAAGGGGCAGUAAGGCAUAAGUAACCUACCCUGGGGAUGGGCAUAGCCGGCCUAACGGCCGGGUAAUACCCAGCGAUUUGACGAGGGGGCAUCCCCUUGUCAGGAACGAGUUUCGCCUCGGGAGGGCUUAUGUGAUAUUAGCUAGUUGGUGAGGUAACGGCUCACCAAGGCGAAGAUGUCUAGCGGGUGUGAGAGCACGACCCGCGCCACUGGCACUGAGACACUGGCCAGACCACCGUACGGGUGCUGCAGUGGACGGUAUCGUUCGUACGGAGU
RNAcentral lists this ribosomal RNA (360 nucleotides) under uncultured soil bacterium. RNAcentral's name for it is "bacterial SSU rRNA". It matches the Rfam family "Bacterial small subunit ribosomal RNA", at positions 26 to 376 of the family's 1533-position model. The record is from RNAcentral.